GAUGAACGCUAGCGGCAGGCUUAACACAUGCAAGUCGAGGGGCAGCAUGAAGGUUAGCAAUAACCUUUGAUGGCGACCGGCGCAAGGGUGCGUAACGCGUGAGCAACUUGCCCGUUUCUGGGGGAUAACCGGUGGAAACGCCGACUAAUAUCCCAUAGUAUUGGUUUUAGGCAUCUAUUUCCAAUUAAAGAAUUUCGGAAACGGAUAGGCUCGCGUGACAUUAGCUAGAUGGCGGGGUAACGCCCACCAUGGCUACGAUGUCUAGGGGUUCUGAGAGGAAGGUCCCCCACACUGGAACUGAGACACGGUCCAG
This 313-nucleotide ribosomal RNA is filed under the name uncultured bacterium. RNAcentral describes it as "bacterial SSU rRNA". It matches the Rfam family "Bacterial small subunit ribosomal RNA", at positions 28 to 334 of the family's 1533-position model. The record is from RNAcentral.